Molecule: long non-coding RNA, 355 nt
Filed under: Volvox carteri
Lineage: Eukaryota; Viridiplantae; Chlorophyta; Chlorophyceae; Chlamydomonadales; Volvocaceae
Description: long non-coding RNA (VCAR_LNC004177)
Source: RNAcentral
CAGACUCAUGUGUUUUCUACAAGCCCCCACAAGAAGAGUUUGGGGCUACUGAAACUGUAGCAGUCGCUCACCUGGGCGGACUACUGGCUUUGCGGAAGCGUGGAAUUUAGAGUCCUCGCUGAGGCAGGGAGAAGUCCAACCCAGCAACAAGCACUAGCAUACAUAGACCCGUACGAAACAAUCCGAGACAGCGGCAGCGGAGUCUUGAACUCUGAACACCAAGUAGUCAUGAUACUUAAGUGCCUCACCAUGGCACCCCGCCCAGGUAGCUUACAUCUCGGCCUACCUGCCGGAGAUUCCCUACUACGUUCCUGCCGUGCUAGGAUACUGUCGGUGUAUCCUCCGGUGGCAGGUU